GACGAACGCCGGCGGCGUGCCUAAUACAUGCAAGUUGAGCGAUGAAGCUUGGUGCUUGCACCAAUUUGAAGAGCAGCGAACGGGUGAGUAACGCGUGGGGAAUCUGCCUUUGAGCGGGGGACAACAUUUGGAAACGAAUGCUAAUACCGCAUAACAACUUUAAACAUAAGUUUUAAGUUUGAAAGAUGCAAUUGCAUCACUCAAAGAUGAUCCCGCGUUGUAUUAGCUAGUUGGUGAGGUAAAGGCUCACCAAGGCGAUGAUACAUAGCCGACCUGAGAGGGUGAUCGGCCACAUUGGGACUGAGACACGGCCCAAACUCCUACGGGAGGCAGCAGUAGGGAAUCUUCGGCAAUGGACGAAAGUCUGACCGAGCAACGCCGCGUGAGUGAAGAAGGUUUUCGGAUCGUAAAACUCUGUUGGUAGAGAAGAACGUUGGUGAGAGUGGAAAGCUCAUCAAGUGACGGUAACUACCCAGAAAGGGACGGCUAACUACGUG
Molecule: ribosomal RNA, 497 nt
Filed under: uncultured bacterium
Lineage: Bacteria
Description: partial 16S ribosomal RNA
Rfam family: Bacterial small subunit ribosomal RNA
Source: RNAcentral